CCUACGGGUGGCAGCAGUGAGGAAUAUUGGUCAAUGGGCGAGAGCCUGAACCAGCCAAGUCGCGUGAGGGAGUACUGCCCUAUGGGUUGUAAACCUCUUUUGUCGGGGAGCAAAAGCCGGACGUGUCCGGCUGUGAGAGUACCCGAAGAAAAAGCAUCGGCUAACUCCGUGCCAGCAGCCGCGGUAAUACGGAGGAUGCGAGCGUUAUCCGGAUUUAUUGGGUGUAAAGGGUGCGCAGGCGGAUUUUUAAGUCAGCGGUAAAAUCGUGGGGCUCAACCCCAUCCAGCCGUUGAAACUGGGGAUCUAGAGUGUGCGAGAGGUAUGCGGAAUGCGUGGUGUAGCGGUGAAAUGCAUAGAUAUCACGCAGAACCCCGAUUGCGAAGGCAGCAUACCGGUGCACAACUGACGCUCAGGCACGAAAGCGUGGGUAUCGAACAGGAUUAGAUACCCUUGUAGUC
This 458-nucleotide ribosomal RNA is filed under the name uncultured bacterium. Its description in RNAcentral is "partial 16S ribosomal RNA". It matches the Rfam family "Bacterial small subunit ribosomal RNA", at positions 338 to 795 of the family's 1533-position model. The record is from RNAcentral.